GGGGACUUGGUCUAGGGGUAUGAUUUCCCCUUCGCAUGGCCUGAUUAGGCCGUAAAUGUGUGGGGAAGGUCGGGGGUUCAAUUCCCCCAGUCUCCA
This is a non-coding RNA of Amylocarpus encephaloides, 96 nucleotides long. Lineage: Eukaryota; Fungi; Ascomycota; Leotiomycetes; Helotiales. The record is from the annotation of a GenBank genome assembly.